RNAcentral lists this ribosomal RNA (463 nucleotides) under uncultured bacterium. RNAcentral describes it as "partial 16S ribosomal RNA". It matches the Rfam family "Bacterial small subunit ribosomal RNA", at positions 28 to 507 of the family's 1533-position model. The record is from RNAcentral.
GAUGAACGCUGACAGAAUGCUUAACACAUGCAAGUCGAUGGGGAAGUGGUGCUUGCACCAUGGCAACCAUGGCGGACGGGUGAGUAACGCGUAAGGGACUUACCUGCAGGACUGGGAUAACAGGGGGAAACUCCUGACAAGACCGGAUAAUGUCAUGGAGCUGCAUGGCUUUAUGAUGAAAGGAGACGCCUGCGGAGAGCCUUGCGUCCUAUUAGCUAGUUGGUGAGGUAAUGGCUCACCAAGGCGAAGAUAGGUAGCCGGCCUGAGAGGGUGGACGGCCACAAGGGGACUGAGAUGCGGCCCUUACUCCUACGGGAGGCAGCAGUGGGGAAUAAUGGACGAUGGGGGCAACCCUGAUCCAGCAAUUCUGUGUGCACGAAGAAGGUUUUCGGAGUGUAAAGUGCUUUCAGCAGGGAAGAAGUAAGUGACGGUACCGGCAGAAGAAGCGACGGCUAAAUACGUG